Molecule: long non-coding RNA, 2148 nt
Filed under: Olea europaea subsp. europaea
Lineage: Eukaryota; Viridiplantae; Streptophyta; Magnoliopsida; Lamiales; Oleaceae
Source: RNAcentral
AUUGAGGAGGAUUUAGUAAGGAAAUUUUAGGAGGUUGGACAACAUGUAUAUGAUGAUGGUGAAGAUGAAGACAUGCUGUAUGGAGAUGGCCUGAGACUCUAGUCAUGCGUAAGAGUCUACUAACUCCCAAGGGAGAUUUAGGAGAUGUUUAGUUGAGGACAAAUGUUUUCCACACGACCAGUACAGUUGUCGAUAAAGUUUGCAAGUUGAUCAAUUACAGUGGCAAUUGUGAGAAUAUAGUAUUUGAAGAGGCUGUCCAGAAAUUGUACCUAAAGAUAGAUCGUCACCCAAGCUGUACAAGUUAUCAUAGUUGAAUAAAGGCAGUGAGGUAACAGUAGAAAAAUAGCGUCUGGUGUCUUUUUCAAUCGGCAUGAAAUUUUUUGAUAAUGCUUGGUGUGAUGUUGUGUCUAUGGAUGCCUGUCAUGUAUUGUUGGAAUAAACUUGGUAGUAUGAUCGCAUGUUAUUCAUGAUGGACGAAAGAAUAAAUAUUCCCUUAGCAUUAAAGGGAAGAAGAUUGUGUUGGCACCUCGUAGGGAAGAAACUAUCCAUGCCCCAAUAGUUAAUAAUACCAACUUCUUUUCCAUGUCUAGGUUUCUAUUUGAGAUUGGGCGUGAAGAUGUAGCCUAUGCUUUACUACCUUGUGAGAAUAGUGCAGUGAAUGGGGAUUUAGACUUACCAGCAAAAGUGCAGCAGCUACUAACGGAGUUCUUUGACCUGAUGCUAGAAGAUCUUCCUCCGAGGUUACCAUAUGAGGGAUAUUCAACAUCAUAUCAACCUUAUUUUGAGGUCGAGUUUGCCUAAUCGACUAGCAUAUUGCCUCAACCCCAAGAAAGCUGAAGAGUUACAUCGACAGGUGGUGGAAUUGUUAGAGAGGGGCUACAUUCGUGACAAUAUGAGUCCACGUAUUGUUCUUGCUCUACUAGUACUGAAGAAAGAUGGAUCUUGGAGAAUGUGUAGACAACAGAGCAAUCAACAAUAUUAUAGUGAAGUACAAGUUUCCAAUUCCCUUCCUAGAUGAUAUGUUGGAUUAGUUGUCCUGUUCUAAGGUCUUCUCAAAAAUUGACCUUAAAAGCUAAUAUCACCAAAUCAGAGUAAGGCUUGGAGAUGAAUGGAAGACGACGUUCAAGGCGCAGCAUACAUUGUACGAGUGGAUGGUCAUGCCGUUUGGACUAUCCAAUGCACCAAGCACUUUUAUGAUGUUUAUGCAUCAGAUGUUAUGGCCUUUCAUGGGGAAGUUUGUAGUAGUAUACAUAAAGGAAGGUACAUUCUCAAUGGCUUUCAGAGGUUACUGAUGAUUGAGGCAGGUUGAACAAAAAACACAAGACGAAUACAAGAACAAAGUGCUCUUGGCGAUCCAUAGAAAAUAGACAAUUCCUAAAGAUUGGGAACACGUGUGAGUGAAGCACGUUCUAACAGGGCUUGGAGAUUGCAGGAAUUAGGUCAACGAGUCUAGUGGAUUUUCUAGGCUGGAUAGCACUGUAAUUUCUUAUUGUAGUGGAGGUCAUUAGCUUAGUCUCGAAGUUUUUAAUCCUGCAAGGGGUUUUCUUCAUCAAGAAUUCUCCUGUAUUAUUUAUUUUCCUACAAAUUUAUUAAACUAUGAUAAUUCAACAUAGGAUAGUGUACAUGUGAAUUCAUGAAGAUUAAUUAAUAAGUGAAUUGUUGCUGUUAAUUAAUAAUUUUAAUUCCUUUGUUUUCACCUGUUCACCCGAUAUUAUGGUUAAACUAGUAAUUUUCUUUUAGUUUGCAAGUGAUGCUAGAAAAAUUGUAAACACAUAACAAAUGAAAAACUGAAGUUUGGGUCACUAUUAGUGAAACGAAAUGAGUUUAUUUGAGGAGUGUUUCCUAGACACACCUUUUAAAGACCUUUACAAUAAAUCUUUCUUUGUGAUCAAAUUGUAGGAUGUUCUAGAUGUCUUGCAAAGCAAUUCACUCUUUGAAGAAAGUAAGGUUGCAAUAUGUACCUUAUUUCGUUUAUUGUUUUAUCUGUUGGAGUUGGGGUCUAGAUAUUUUUUACAUGCAAUUACUCUAAACUAGAAGUAGAAAGAUAGGGAUAUUUGGUGUAGAGCACCCAGAUACUUUCCAUGCACAUCUUUUGUGCAAACAGAGCCGGUCCUGUGAUUUAUGAGCCCUGAGGCGAAGUGUGUAAAG